This is a non-coding RNA of Candidatus Nomurabacteria bacterium, 109 nucleotides long. The record is from Rfam. Lineage: Bacteria; Candidatus Nomuraibacteriota.
UUCUGGUGCUUUGACGGUGGGGCCACACCUCUUCCCAUUCCGAACAGAGAAGUUAAGCCCACUAGUGGCGAUGAUAGUUUUUAAAGCAAAAGUAGCUAGGCGCCAGAAC